UGGGGAAUAUUGCACAAUGGGCGCAAGCCUGAUGCAGCCAUGCCGCGUGUAUGAAGAAGGCCUUCGGGUUGUAAAGUACUUUCAGCGGGGAGGAAGGUGUUGUGGUUAAUAACCACAGCAAUUGACGUUACCCGCAGAAGAAGCACCGGCUAACUCCGUGCCAGCAGCCGCGGUAAUACGGAGGGUGCAAGCGUUAAUAGGAAUUACUGGGCGUAAAGCGCACGCAGGCGGUCUGUCAAGUCGGAUGUGAAAUCCCCGGGCUCAACCUGGGAACUGCAUCCGAAACUGGCAGGCUUGAGUCUUGUAGAGGGGGGUAGAAUUCCAGGUGUAGCGGUGAAAUGCGUAGAGAUCUGGAGGAAUACCGGUGGCGAAGGCGGCCCCCUGGACAAAGACUGACGCUCAGGUGCGAAAGCGUGGGGAGCAAACA
Molecule: ribosomal RNA, 427 nt
Filed under: uncultured bacterium
Lineage: Bacteria
Description: partial 16S ribosomal RNA
Rfam family: Bacterial small subunit ribosomal RNA
Source: RNAcentral